UACCAGCACCCCGAGUGGUCGGGACGAUUAUUGGGCCUAAAGCAUCCGUAGCCGGUUCUACAAGUCUUCCGUUAAAUCCACCUGCUUAACAGAUGGGCUGCGGAGGAUACUAUGGAGCUAGGAGGCGGGAGAGGCAAGCGGUACUUAGUGGGUAGGGGUAAAAUCCGUUGAUCCAUUGAAGACCACCAGUGGCGAAGGCGGCUUGCCAGAACGCACUCGACGGUGAGGGAUGAAAGCUAGGGGAGCAAACGGG
This 253-nucleotide ribosomal RNA is filed under the name uncultured bacterium. Its description in RNAcentral is "partial 16S ribosomal RNA". It matches the Rfam family "Archaeal small subunit ribosomal RNA", at positions 474 to 727 of the family's 1478-position model. The record is from RNAcentral.